UUCGAAUUGGAUUCGAAUCUGAUUCUUAAUUGAUCUAAUUUGAUUAGAUCAUAUUCUAAUAUGGGUUAGCCAAGAGUUGGCACCUAAUUGGCUUGGUUUGAGUCUAAUUGGAUUAGAUUUAAUAAAUCAUUCAAUCUAGACCGUUAGAUCUUGAUCUAUCGUUGGAUGAAGACAUAAUGGAGAGUUGGUUUAACCCAAUUGGAUUG
RNAcentral lists this long non-coding RNA (206 nucleotides) under Phoenix dactylifera (date palm). RNAcentral describes it as "long non-coding RNA (PDAC_LNC020348)". Lineage: Eukaryota; Viridiplantae; Streptophyta; Magnoliopsida; Arecales; Arecaceae. The record is from RNAcentral.